GUCGAUGUUGGGAAAUGUUUUAACAUCUGGAGCCUUUGUGGGUGGAAAUCUGUCUCCAAUUACAACUCUGCACUGGAUGUGAAGAAGCAAAAACUAUUCCGUCUACUCACAGAACAGUACUUUCUGGAAUAUUAUGGGGAAUUGUACCAAACAAGAACCACGUAAGCAAUGCCUAGGGAUAAGGAGGAGGAAAAGCACAUGGUCCACAACAAAGGGCACCUAAGAGUGGGAAGCUGCAACAGUAAGGAAGCUUUUUAUUAAAGGUUUUAUAUAAAUUUUCCCACAUCAUGGGGCCUUGUUUUGCAUGCUGAUGAAGAGCUACUUAGAACUAACGAUUAAAAUCAGCUGCCUCCCCUGGUUAGACGCAGGUUCUUGAAAGUUACAAUUUAAGGUACCCCCAAAAAGUUGGAAAUAAAAGGAAACAAAUUUGAACAACGAAGCACCCUGUGACAUGCCGACGCGCCACUCCUUUUACCUUUGCGGGCUGGGCAGGGAGGGAGGAAUCAAUGGGGUCGGGGUCAAAGGAAAGGUGACAUCUAAUUUUACAUUAAAACGUUAGUGGAUAUAAGUUCAUGGUUGUACUUCUUAGAUUUAAUUUCUAGGCCGACAUGUUAUCUAAGGUGCAGUUUAAGGUCCAGGCAUGCGCUCGGGCUCAUAGUGAUUGACGUGGUGUGCAUUAGUGACCGCAGCAUGCUCGCCUCAUAGAGUGCGGUUGGUAUCCAUUCACCGAUGUCGCGCCAGUUUGGGUUGCCGUUUACCAGUUCAAUAUAGCCCUGCAUUUAAAAUUCCUUUUGAGAUUCGUGGAUUUUAUUUUUAUUAAGAAUAUAGAUAUAUAAAGUACUGUAGUUUACAACUAGGCCUUGAAAUAUCUUUUUAGGAUCUGUUAGGAAUAAGAUUGAUAUUGUAUUGUGUGUAACCUGCACAAUGUGGAAAGCUGAUAUACCUGUGCAAAAUCUUUGCCUCUGUGCUGUCAGUGUGGUGUGCUUUCUGCAUGGUUAUAUGCGACUAGUAAUUUUAUCAAAUUUCAAAUUACAUGGUAAAAGAUCUGUAAAAGGCUGCAUAAAUGUUAGUUGGCACAUAAAGACAAUUGUAGAAGUUGAAACAUGAUUGCUAUAUUUCAAUGUUUAUUCCCACUCAACAUAUUGCCUCUAAGCUUUCCUUUAAUUUUUUUUUUUAUUUUUAUUUGUGUUCGAAGCAUGAUCUUAAAGAUAUGUUUAAGUUAAUGGAUGUAAUGCAGGGUUCCUACACUGUAUUGGCGCAUGUUGGUGGCCCUCUGUGUCCUAGGCUUGUGCACAUAGGGCACGUACAAAGCUACAGAGUGAGAGUUGGUUUGGAUCCUCUUCAUUUCAUUUGUUUGGCUUUUCUGUUAUUUUUUUCCCUCUACUUACAUGUAUUUCUGUGAAUAAAUCCUUGUUAAGUUAACCCUUUACUUUUCCUUCCAUGUGUAUUUUCUUAUAUACUGUGAAUGUGAAGACCCUAACUGGUACACUUGAUCUUAUGUCCAUAUGAAAGUGCAAAUCUUUAUUAAUUUGGAUUGCCUGAGCAGUGUGUAUCCCAUGAUGAUGAAGGAAAAUGGAGAGAUUUUUCCUUUUAGCUCUGCUGGUCAGAGAUGAAGCCACACCUUUCCAUUUUUCAAUGCUGCAUAUUUAAUCUGCAAAAAAAGUUAAGCCAUAACAGCCUUUUUCUAUUUUACUUUGUCACCUUUGCAUUGCAGAAUAAAUACCGAAUAACCGUUUUUUAUAAGCAGUCGCUCCUCUUUGCAUGGUUCUGUUCUAUAAAAGUGACUGAUAACGGCCAUUGCACUGAAGUGUGAGCUGUGUGUGUGUGUGUGACUUUAUAAAUACAAUUUUAAAACAUUUCACAUGCAUGGUAGCAUGCACAAAGGUUU
This 1888-nucleotide long non-coding RNA is filed under the name Rattus norvegicus (Norway rat). RNAcentral describes it as "long non-coding RNA NONRATT016014". Lineage: Eukaryota; Metazoa; Chordata; Mammalia; Rodentia; Muridae. The record is from RNAcentral.